Schizosaccharomyces pombe (fission yeast) is the source of this 334-nucleotide non-coding RNA. NCBI's taxonomy places the organism in Eukaryota, Fungi, Ascomycota, Schizosaccharomycetes, Schizosaccharomycetales, Schizosaccharomycetaceae. The record is from the annotation of a GenBank genome assembly.
AUGCCUUUUAUUAAGCCGGACCGGACCCAUUCUAUUCAUUAUAUAGUAAAUUUCUCUCAUUGUCUUCAAAUGUUUUAUGAACUAUUGAAUUCGGAUGAGUAAGAGUAGGGAAAACAUAAGUCUGUUUGUAGUGUCAAGUAUCAAAAGUUGUUAAACAUUAAAUUCAAAAAUUUUGGCGUUCAUGUAACAAAAUGAAAUAUUUAACUUUUUAAUGACUAAAAAAUGAUUUACUUAAGUUUUCUAAACUAUGCCAAUAUUAAAGUUAACAGAAUCGUCAAAUUUUCAGGAAAUUUUAGUAUGCCAUACUCUCGUUAGAUAUGUUUGCAGCAAUAUU